GAUGAAGAACGUAGCGAAAUGCGAUAAGUAAUGCGAAUUGCAGAAUUCCGUGAGUCAUCGAAUCUUUGAACGCACAUUGCGCCCCCUGGUAUUCCGGAGGGCAUGUCUGUCCGAGCGUCAUUAGUCCAAUCUCAAGCCCGGCUUGUCGUUGGGUCGCACCGCCCGGGGCGGUGGACCCGAAAUAUAAUGACGGGGUCUAGCGGACCGUGGGCGCAGCGAGCUUUUACAGCACGCGUCCCGGCGUCAUCUAGACGCGUCUCCAACCAUACUCUCUGUAGGUUGACCUCGGAUCAGACAGGAUUACCCGCUGAACUUAAGCAUAUCAAUAAGCGGAGGA
RNAcentral lists this unclassified non-coding RNA (337 nucleotides) under soil metagenome. RNAcentral describes it as "partial contains 5.8S ribosomal RNA, internal transcribed spacer 2, and large subunit ribosomal RNA". The stretch from base 1 to 120 matches the Rfam family "5.8S ribosomal RNA", at positions 35 to 154 of the family's 154-position model. The record is from RNAcentral.